Nothobranchius furzeri (turquoise killifish) is the source of this 1293-nucleotide non-coding RNA. The record is from RefSeq and is a predicted model, not a curated record. NCBI's taxonomy places the organism in Eukaryota, Metazoa, Chordata, Actinopteri, Cyprinodontiformes, Nothobranchiidae.
CCUUUCUUUUUGGAAUCGGGAAAUUAGCUAUUAUUUACCCCAUGGAAAACGGAGCGACAGCGGGCCACUGGAGGUGCCCUGCUAGUAAGAUCCCGUUUGAACUGUAAACUGCCAUAAAAUAAAAACUAUAAUAGCUAGAGUGGUCUUUUUUUAGCUGAAAGCUGAGACUCUCGCCUUUCAGCACAUCUGUACUGUACAAGUCGAUGAUGUCAUCAUGUUGCGUUAAGUGUGCAGCACACUGUGGCUAUGUUAAAAACUCACACUGACCAAGAAGCAGCACGGGAGAGUUAAAGAAUUUAACCAGUUAAAAUGGAUUCAUGGAUAUUUAAUCAAUAGUCGUGGCUCCUCUUGUUAUUUAGUUUUUUGUCUGCCGGAGAAAUUUGCUGAAUAAGGAAAUAAAAACUUAAAAUGACAAAAAAAUUAGGGAAAAACACUUGUUUUGUAUAUUAUUAAUUAUUAAUGAUUAAUUGAUUGUUGGUAUUUUAACUUUUGGUAAAGGAAAACACUCAAUUUCCAGGCAGCCCCAGUCUGGAGAAGUGAUGGCGACAUCAGCCGUUAAAAAUAAAUAAUACUCUGAGGUUUUUAUGAAUACUUUGUACUUUUACUUGAGUAUUUCUCUAACACCAGUACUUUUACUUGUAAAUGAGUAAUAUUUUAGCAAUGUAACAGUACUUGUACUUGAGUACAGAUUUUCAGAAUUCUUUCCACCACUGCUGAAUUGUAUUGUUUGUUUUAUGCAACAUCAGGAGCCCUACACAGAUAUUUUGGGAUAACACCAGCUGCCACUGAGGAACAGCCAUCUACCUCCACUGCUCAUACCAGUAGGCCAGUAUUUGAACUCGAGGAGGGACAGUUUGCUGGCACCACAUCUCCCCAGGAAGAUACUUUAGAGAGACCUACCAGUAUAUGUGAACUUGAUGAGGGACAGCCAGCUGCCACAUCUCCCCAACAAGAUACGUCAGAGAAGCCUGAACGAUCAACCAAUGAGUCCCAUUGAAGGUGAUGAUGAGCCUCUUUCUUCAGACCCAGCCAAGUGGUCAUCACCAAUUACCGACAGCAUACGCACAGAGCUAGUUCGAAGAGGACCUACCAAGGUGCCAACUACUUUCAUAUUUCCCAGGAAUGAAGGCGAUGGCAGGUGUUGUCAUCAUCACUAUUUCAGUAGAACUUUGACAAGUGGUGAGAAGGUGGCCAGGAGCUGGAUGUUGUAUUCAGUUAGCAAACGUUGUUAUAUAUAAUACACUCCACGCAAUUUGAAACAAAGUUGUAGGUGUAUUUUUUUUCUUGUGUGUG